Molecule: ribosomal RNA, 1323 nt
Filed under: metagenome
Description: bacterial LSU rRNA
Rfam family: Bacterial large subunit ribosomal RNA
Source: RNAcentral
AAAAAAAGCCACUAAGCUUCAGCUAUACACGACCGUACCGCAAACCGACACUGGUGCGCGAGAUGAGUAUUCUAAGGCGCUUGAGAGAACUCAGGAGAAGGAACUCGGCAAAUUGACACCGUAACUUCGGAAGAAGGUGUGCCCUAUUAGUGUGAAGUGAACAACGGAGCAUGAAUGGGUUGCAAAAAAUCGGUGGCUGCGACUGUUUAUUAAAAACACAGCACUCUGCAAACACGAAAGUGGACGUAUAGGGUGUGACGCCUGCCCGGUGCUGGAAGAUUAAAUGAUGGGGUGCAAGCUCUUGAUUGAAGUCCCAGUAAACGGCGGCCGUAACAAUAACGGUCCUAAGGUAGCGAAAUUCCUUGUCGGGUAAGUUCCGACCUGCACGAAUGGCGUAACGAUGGCCACACUGUCUCCUCCUGAGACUCAGCGAAGUUGAAAUGUUUGUGAUGAUGCAAUCUCCCCGCGGAAAGACGGAAAGACCCCAUGAACCUUUACUGUAGCUUUGUAUUGGACUUUGAACAGAUCUGUGUAGGAUAGGUGGGAGGCUUUGAAGCAGGGUCGCUAGAUCUUGUGGAGCCAACGUUGAAAUACCACCCUGGUGUGUUUGAGGUUCUAACCUAGGUCCAUUAUCUGGAUCGGGGACAGUGCAUGGUAGGCAGUUUGACUGGGGCGGUCUCCUCCCAAAGCGUAACGGAGGAGUUCGAAGGUACGCUAGUUACGGUCGGACAUCGUGACGAUAGUGCAAUGGCAUAAGCGUGCUUAACUGCGAGACUGACAAGUCGAGCAGAUGCGAAAGCAGGACAUAGUGAUCCGGUGGUUCUGUAUGGAAGGGCCAUCGCUCAACGGAUAAAAGGUACUCUGGGGAUAACAGGCUGAUACCGCCCAAGAGUUCAUAUCGACGGCGGUGUUUGGCACCUCGAUGUCGGCUCAUCUCAUCCUGGGGCUGUAGCCGGUCCCAAGGGUAUGGCUGUUCGCCAUUUAAAGAGGUACGUGAGCUGGGUUUAAAACGUCGUGAGACAGUUUGGUCCCUAUCUUCCGUGGGCGCUGCAGAUUUGAGGAAGCCUGCUCCUAGUACGAGAGGACCGGAGUGGACACACCUCUGGUGUAUCGGUUGUCACGCCAGUGGCAUUGCCGAGUAGCUAAGUGUGGAAGAGAUAACCGCUGAAAGCAUCUAAGCGGGAAACUCGUUUCAAGAUGAGAUCUGCCGGGGCCUUGAGCCCCCUGAAGAGUCGUUCAAGACCAGGACGUUGAUAGGUCAGGUGUGGAAGCGCAGUAAUGCGUUAAGCUAACUGAUACUAAUUGCUCGUGCGGCUUGACCCG